GAGGGAGCAAUAAUGGGGCCAUUGAUAACCACUGUUGUGAUUGGUCUCAAGGAUUUGUAUGCUGAAUUUGUUCUGGACGAACAUGAGAAAAAUGAUUAGCAAAAUGAAGUCUGAAACUCUGCCAGUUCCACCUUCCAAUUCUGUUGCUUUCAACCUGUGAACUGAUUGCUGUACAUUAGUUUGAGCCACUUUCAGCAGAGGCACAUGGCUCGGCCAUUCUCUUCCCACACCAUUUUUUUUUUU
RNAcentral lists this unclassified non-coding RNA (243 nucleotides) under Hevea brasiliensis (rubber tree). Lineage: Eukaryota; Viridiplantae; Streptophyta; Magnoliopsida; Malpighiales; Euphorbiaceae. The record is from RNAcentral.